Molecule: small nuclear RNA, 107 nt
Organism: Pteropus vampyrus (large flying fox)
Lineage: Eukaryota; Metazoa; Chordata; Mammalia; Chiroptera; Pteropodidae
Source: Ensembl
GUGCUUGCUUCAGCAGCACAUAUACCAAAAUUAUAAUGAUACAAAGAAGAUUAGCAUGGUAACUGUGCAAGGAUGACAUACAAAGUCAUCAAGUAGUCUAUAUUUUU